UACACAUGCAGUCGAGGGGUAUGGUUCUUCGGACCAGAGACCGGCGCACGGGUGCGUAACGCGUAUGCAAUCUACCUUUCACAGAGGGAUAGCCCAGAGAAAUUUGGAUUAAUACCUCAUAGCAUAGCAGUCUCGCAUGAGACCACUAUUAAAGAUUUAUCGGUGAAAGAUGAGCAUGCGUCCCAUUAGCUAGUUGGUNUGGUAACGGCAUACCAAGGCUACGAUGGGUAGGGGUCCUGAGAGGGAGAUCCCCCACACUGGUACUGAGACACGGACCAGACUCCUACGGGAGGCAGCAGUGAGGAAUAUUGGACAAUGGGCGCAAGCCUGAUCCAGCCAUGCCGCGUGCAGGAUGACGGUCCUAUGGAUUGUAAACUGCUUUUAUACAGGAAGAAACACCUCUACGAGUAGAGACUUGACGGUACUGUAAGAAUAAGGAUCGGCUAACUCCGUGCCAGCAGCCGCGGUAAUACGGAGGAUCCAAGCGUUAUCCGGAAUCAUUGGGUUUAAAGGGUCCGUAGGCG
RNAcentral lists this ribosomal RNA (524 nucleotides) under bacterium fme09x26p52. RNAcentral describes it as "bacterial SSU rRNA". It matches the Rfam family "Bacterial small subunit ribosomal RNA", at positions 50 to 577 of the family's 1533-position model. The record is from RNAcentral.